This 406-nucleotide ribosomal RNA is filed under the name uncultured bacterium. RNAcentral's name for it is "partial 16S ribosomal RNA". It matches the Rfam family "Bacterial small subunit ribosomal RNA", at positions 30 to 526 of the family's 1533-position model. The record is from RNAcentral.
AUUGAACGCUGGCGGCAGGCUUAACACAUGCAAGUCGAGCGCGCGGCGGACGGGUGAGUAAUGUCUGGGAAACUGCCUGAUGGAGGGGGAUAACUACUGGAAACGGUGGAUAAUACCGCAUACUAUCGGAUGAACCAAUAUGGGAGUAGCUAGUAGGUGGGGUAAAGGCUGACCUAGGCGACGAUCUCUCGCUGGUCUGAGAGGAUGAUGAGCCACACUGGGACUGUGACACGGCCCAUACUCCUACGGGAGGAAGCAGUGGGGAAUAUUGCACAAUGGGCGCAAGCCUGAUGCAGCCGUGCCGCGUGUAUGAAGAAGGCCUUAGGGUUGUAAAGUACUUUCAGCGGGGAGGCGUUACCCGCAGAAGAAGCACCGGCUAACUCCGUGCCAGCAGCCGCGGUAAUUC